GUCUGGGUGGUGUAGUUGGUUAUCACGCUAGUCUCACACACUAGAGGUCCCAGUUCAAACCUGGGCUCAGACA
Transfer RNA from Ipomoea nil (Japanese morning glory), 73 nucleotides. It matches the Rfam family "tRNA". Rfam says of the family: Transfer RNA (tRNA) molecules are approximately 80 nucleotides in length. Their secondary structure includes four short double-helical elements and three loops (D, anti-codon, and T loops). NCBI's taxonomy places the organism in Eukaryota, Viridiplantae, Streptophyta, Magnoliopsida, Solanales, Convolvulaceae. The record is from Rfam.